ACUAUCUUGGCAGAUAAGUGCAUUGGAUUUAAGCUCCACACAUAUAAAUUAACUUUAUAUUUAGUA
RNAcentral lists this transfer RNA (66 nucleotides) under Petrobiellus sp. 1 JZ-2014. Its description in RNAcentral is "tRNA-Leu". The record is from RNAcentral. Lineage: Eukaryota; Metazoa; Arthropoda; Insecta; Archaeognatha; Machilidae.